AGCGAACGCUGGCGGUAGGCCUAACACAUGCAAGUCGAACGGCAGCACAGUAAGAGCUUGCUCUUACGGGUGGCGAGUGGCGGACGGGUGAGGAAUACAUCGGAAUCUACUUUUUCGUGGGGGAUAACGUAGGGAAACUUACGCUAAUACCGCAUACGACCUACGGGUGAAAGCAGGGGAUCUUCGGACCUUGCGCGAUUGAAUGAGCCGAUGUCGGAUUAGCUAGUUGGCGGGGUAAAGGCCCACCAAGGCGACGAUCCGUAGCUGGUCUGAGAGGAUGAUCAGCCACACUGGAACUGAGACACGGACCAGACUCCUACGGGAGGCAGCAGUGGGGAAUAUUGGACAAUGGGCGCAAGCCUGAUCCAGCCAUACCGCGUGGGUGAAGAAGGCCUUCGGGUUGUAAAGCCCUUUUGUUGGGAAAGAAAAGCAGCAGGUUAAUACCCCGCUGUUCUGACGGUACCCAAAGAAUAAGCACCGGCUAACUUCGUG
RNAcentral lists this ribosomal RNA (492 nucleotides) under uncultured bacterium. Its description in RNAcentral is "partial 16S ribosomal RNA". It matches the Rfam family "Bacterial small subunit ribosomal RNA", at positions 29 to 507 of the family's 1533-position model. The record is from RNAcentral.